AACGAUCCAACUUUUCUAACUAAGUCGAAGUCAUUAAUUUCAAACAAAGACCUUAGUUUACACAAAAUAUCAAAUUCAAAUAAAAUCAAACUCUCAAGGAAAACAAAAUUUAAAUUCGGGCCUUGUUUAAAAUAACCAAAAAAAAAAAAAAAAAAAAUUUCAAGGAAAGGCUUACAAAUCGUUAGUUCGUGAAUUCAGUUAACCCACAAAGUUUUCUAACAGUCUCGAGUACUAAAACGUAAUAAGAAAAUCAAACAUUAAGCGGAAACAAAUUAAAAUACCCCUAUGGCAAUCACGCUUCCUUCCUGCCCCUCGUCGGUCUGCUUCCCUCGUUACCUUUGCCUGAAAAAGUUAAACAUAAAAGGGGUGAGUAUAAAUAUACCUAGUAAGAGACUCGCUACUGGUCCCGUUAGGGGAAAAAUAAAAUAUUAACUUCCUAUGGAGUACCCUGCACAGUUACAGCCUUGUGAUCCCGUAGGAUACACAUAAUCAAUCUAACAUCCGAAGGAUGCAUAAAGCAGUCUAGUGUUAUGCAAAAACACAUAUCAGUCUAGUGCUCCCGAAGGAUGCACAUGUCAUUCUAGUGCUCUCGAAGGAUGCACAUAAAGGGUGGUGAUGACCAUAUACUGAACAUCUACGAUACGUUUGAUCCUAGUUAACUUUACAAUGAUCUAGUUGAUAGUCUUCCUAUUUGUUGAGCUUCUCUUUUAGAUUGAAGGAAAGGGAAAGACUGGCUGGGUUGUGGCAAGCGAACUUCUUCGCUAUUAUGUGGAGAAAUUUAUAGGGGAGACUAGGGAGUUAGAGAGUUUUUUUGGAAAAAAAAAAAAGAGAAGGGACUUUACAUUAAGAGAAUUAAAAAAAAAAGACCAAUGUUCAAAGAAGUGAAAAAGAGCAACAUAGCACAAAAAAAAAGACAUAGGAACAUAAAGUAAAAAGUAAGCUAGAGAGGUGAUAAGGAUAAUUAGUAUAUUUUAGUUAAUUGGUUAAUUGUCUUAUUUUCCUGUAAGGCUAUAGAUAGCCAAUUUAGGAGUGUAUUUGAACCUCUUGAAUAUCUUUCCAAUAUAGAACGUUAUUCUUGGAGAGCUUUUUCUCAUCUCUAAGGAAUGAGAUUUCUCUUGUUCCAGAAUGGAUUUGGCCUGGUACUCCAACCUGUUGCAUCAAGAGGUUUAAUUAUUCUGUUUGGGCAUUUAUCACCAGGAAUUUUUGUAAUUGUGAUAAUGGUCUUGUUCUUUUUUAUUAGAUUGUUUGAUGUGAUUAGUCAUUGACUCCUUUUUAUGAGUAUUAUGUCUUUUUUUUUUUGUUUUUCUUAUUGCAAUUUGGUUUUGGUAUUUCUGUUGUAUGUCUUUUUAUUAUUAUUAUUGCAAUUUGGUUUUGGUAUUUCGGUUACGAAUAGAGUUUUGUUUGCCCUUGGUUCUUUUUUUUUUUUUCACAAUAAAAGUUUGGUUGCUUAAAUAAAAUGGUUCUCUGGACAGAAGUGAAUUGUGAGUUUACUGAAUUUGGUAAAUUUAGAAGCAUUCCUCUGUGCAUCCUCUAGUAGAUUUUGGAUUUUCCUCUUCCACUGUAAUGGAAUUGGACCGAGAAAAGUUAAUGUGUUCCAGUUAUUUUACGGUGCUGGCACUUACAUGUUUGGAAUUGAUGAUGAACGAGUAAUUGAUGCUAUAAGGUCUGGAAGCAUUGCUCAUUUGAUCAACCACUCUUUCGAAGUAUGUAUUACUUUAACAAUUCAUUUACUUUUUAUUUUUUCCUUUUAUGUUAAUGUUCUUUAUCCUUAUGAGAUGACUCAUUAAAUUAGGUGUCAAUAGAAUUAUCUUAUAUCAUAGUGCUCUAUGGAGAUGAAUGCAAGUUAGCUAAAUUUUUCCUUAGAUGCUUGGAAGUUAGAAGAGAAAUUUAACUCUCGUUUUUCUCUCAAGGACUAAGCUAUCUUAUUCAUACACAGUAACUGUUGCUCCUCACAAAGUGUUUAAGGAUAAAUAAAGGUUCAAAUUAGAAGUGGACGUCCAUUAGUUUUGGUAUGUAUUUAAAUUAUUUUAAAUCUAAGUAUCUGAUUUCCUAAUAGUUGAAAACCUUAGUUUAUUGACAAGAAAUCAAAUGGUUACUUCUGAAGUUGGCUGAUUGUAUUUGGUUAUGUCUAAUAAUGAGAAUGACUUUACCUUAAGGGGAUAGAUUUUAGUUUUGGUAUCUCCAAUUGAGAAUUUAGCCAUUGUGCUUACUCUUUAUGGAGUAUCUAAAGACAAGAAAUCGACACUCCAAUACUAUGAAAAUUUUCCUAUAAGGUAACAUUUAUAGUCUCAUGUUCAUUUGGUAUGUUAUUUUAUUUGCUUACUUUGUAAUACUAUUCUAUUUUAGAGCUAUUUAGUCAAUUGAUUGUAAAUUCUGACUACAGCUGAUGAUAUACGUGGGGAAGAUAUCCAAAUGUCACAAAAGUCAGCAUCUUUGGUGUACCGAUUUCUCACCUGCAAGCAAUUUCUUCCUUAAGGGGAUAGACUUUAGUUUUGGUCUACCACACAUGUUUUUGGUUAUAUAAGAUAGUUAUUAUUAUUGUCAGUUUUGGAAUAAGCUACAUGUAGGAAAUUCUACUUGACUAUAUUAUAUUGGAAUUGUGUAAUUUUUGAUGAUAUUAUUGAGAUUAAUAAAAUUAUUGUUGGUUUACUUAUUAUACUAAAUUAUUUGUCAUUUUUUUGUUGUGUAAAUACUGGUUAGAGAGUUUAUUUUGUUGAUAGAUAUGUUUUAUUGAAACGAAUGUAUGUAAUGCAGAAAAUAGGAAAUGGAAAAUUUUGUAUAUUUUAUAUAUUAAUAAAUGGUAUACAUAACGUUAAAUACAUGUCAAAUAUAUGAUCUUACUUUAAUUAAAUAUACAAUUUUACUUGAUGGUUAAAUAGUGUCAAGUAUACAAUCUUACUUGAUGGACAAAUAGUGUCAAAUAUAUCAUCUUACUUGACGUGUAAAUGGUGUUAAGUAUACAAUCUUACUUGACGUUUAAAAACCAUCAAGUAUACUACUUUACUUGAUACAUAAAAAACGUCAUGUAUACGACCUUACUUGACAUGUAAUAAACGUCAAGUGAGAUAGAUUAUUUGAUGUAAAUACAGUGUCAACUAAACGUAUAAUUGACGAUUUUUUAGUGUCAAGUAAUGUGACUAUACUUGACAGUUGAUUACUUGACGCUUUUAAAAAUGUCAAGUAUAUGUUUACUUGACACCGUAUUGACGUCAAGUAACCAAUUUCUGUAGUAGUGACCUCACUAACUAUAGAGGGUCGAGACCAACUGGUAACAACUUCAAUCUUUAAAGGAUCCACAUAAACUCCCUCACUAGAUACCACAUGACCAAGGAAAGCCACUUGCUUCAACCAAAAUUCGCACUUUGAGAAUUUAGCAUAAAGUUUAUUGGCUCGAAGAGUCUCUAAAACUUUAUGUAAAUGCUCCUCAUGUUCAGUCUUUCUCUUGGAGUAAACCAAGAUAUCAAUACUAUUACAAAAGUGUCUAAGAAAUUCUUAAACACCUUGUUCAUCAAAUCCAUAAAUACUAUAGGUGCAUUGGUCAAACCAAAAGAUAUUACAAUGAAUUCAUAAUGUUCAUAGCUCGAACGAAAAGCAGUCUUAGGAAUAUCACUAUCUCUAAUCCUCAACUGGUGAUAACCUGAGCGCAAGUCAAUCUUAGAGAAUACAGUGACUCCUUGUAACUGAUCAAACAAAUCAUCGAUUCUAGGUAAAGGAUACCUGUUCUUGAUCGUUACAGCUCUCUAUAGUCAAUGCAAAGACGCAUCGACCCAUCCUUCUUCUUCACAAACGGUACUGAUGCACCCCAAGGCGACACACUAGGUCGAAUAAAAUCUUUGUCAAGCAACUCAUGUACCUUCGGUUCUUUCAAUUCAGCAGGAGGCAUCCUAUAAGGAGCUAUAGAAAUAAGAGUAGUGUCUAGCUCCAACUCAAUGGCAAAAUCAAUCUCCCAGUGAGGCGUAAGUCCUGGAAUCUCUUCUGAAAACACAUAUGGGAAUUCUCUUACCACAAGUUCUGAGUAUCCACCGCACUGGCCAAAAUACUUAGGUACCCUGGUUAAGCAGUUUACUAGCUUUCAUAGCUGAAAUCACUUUAGGUAGUACCACUGUUUCUACCCCUUUGAAUUUAAAACUAGGCUCGGUAGGAGGACUGAACACUACCUCCUUACAAGAAGAAUCCAUGCUAGCAUGAUUAACAACUAACCAAUCCAUGCCUAAGAUUACAUCAAAGUCACACAUAUCCCAACACUAACAAAGUUACGUCCAACACAUGACCAGUUAUUUCAAUUUUACAUGCUUUGACAUUUUCCUUAGACAACAUAAUUUCCCUAGACGGUGUUGACACUGAUAAAACAUUGUCUAAGAACUCCACCUCUAAGCAUGCAUGUAUUACAAAUAACGAAGAAAUAAAAGAAUGAGAAGAUCAUGAGUCAAACAAAGUUAAGGCAAAGUGCCCUAACACUGGUAGCGUACCUGUCACCACUAUGCCAGCCUUCUCUGCCUUUGAUCUACGAGUGGCAAAAACUUUACCCCGUUGUGGAGUUCUCACUCCCUGACUGCUCUGUCAAGUCUCAGUAGAUCUCAAGGGACAACGAUCAACCAUGUGUCCCUCUUGCUUGCAUUUGAAGCAAACUCUGGUUCCAACCAAACAACGGCCCAGAUGGCGCUUCCCACACGUGUUGCAUAGUGGCUUCUCUAGUAGUGUCCCCUGCCCCACCAGAACUCUGUUGGAAACUGCGAAAAGGACCACCCGAUCUCAAGUUUCUCUGAGGAACUUUCAUAAAACCUCUACUCUACUUUUCUUUUCUGGCCAGACGACGUUCCCUUAUCAGAACUCUUUGCAUGAACUUCGUCCUUUCCAAUACUCAUAUCCACUGCUAGAUGUAGUGCUUCAGCCUGAGUGGUGGGCUUUAGUGCUCGCACAAAGCCUCUGAUCUCAUCCCUCAAUCCUUUAACAAACCUCUCAGCUAUGGUCUGCUCAUUACCAACAAGCUCAGGGGCAAAGCGCAACAUCAUGUCGAACUCUUGGUCAUACUCCUCAACUGCCAUGUGUCAUUGCUUCAAUUCCAAGAAUUCCUGGCUUUUAGCAUCUCUAAGGUUAGCCAAGAAAAACUUGGUAUAAAAGCAGUCUCUAAACUGAUCUCAAGUAAUCUGUCUCACAUUCCCACCUAACAUACGCAUCGUGGACCUCCACCAGAUGAUACCUCUGUCCCUGAAGAGAAAAGCAGCACAUUGAACCCUAUGCUCCUCCGGACACCUCAUGUAGUUAAAUAUGGUUUCCACAUAAGACAACCACAACUCUGCCUUGGUAGGAUCCUCCAGUGAUCCAUCAAAAGUCUGAGGGUCAUAUUUCCUAAAGUCUCUCAAGUGUUUCGCCUCGGCAGAAAGCUGAUUUAGUAGUAUAUGUGGCUGCUGUGCAGCCAGUCCCUGUGCAGGGAGGGCCACAAGUGUAUAUGGAGCUGCUGAUACAGAGGGGGCCACGAUGUAGGCAGAACAGCUGGUGCCUGCUGGUUAGCCAUAGCAUCCAUAAGCUCCAUGAACCUCUUCUCCAUGUGAGCGACCAGUGCAGCCAAACCAGUGUGAGUCACUAGUGCAGCAGGAAUUUGUUAUUCAGGUUUACUCUCAGCAGGUUGAUUACGCCUUGCGCCUCUACCCCUACCUCUGCAACCUCCUCUACGUACACCUAUUUUUGGUGGCAUAAAUUCCUAUUAUCCACCAAUAACUCUCUUUUAAUAGUCUUAAACAAUAAGUAUUUCAUACAGUCUAGUUUAACUUAGGCAAAGUCAUGAAAAUAAACCAUACAUACAAGCAUAAAGCAUACCUAACGAGAGACGAAGGGUCGCGUUAGCCAUAGGGACACAAAAACAUAGACUUACAUCAUAAGUCAGUCUACAGAACCUAAAACUCUGCUCUGAUACCAACUAUAACGACCCAACUUUUCUAACUAAGUAGAAGUCAUUAAUUUCGAAAAAAGACCUUAGUUUACACAAAAUAUCAAAUUCAAAUAAAAUCAAACUCUCAAGGAAAACAAAAUUUAAAUUUGGGCUCUAUUUAAAAUAACAAAAAAAAGAAAAAAAGAACUUUCAAGGAAAGGCUUACAAAUCGUUAGUUCGUGAAUUCAGUUAACCCACAAAGUUUUCUAAACAGUCUCGAGUACUAAAACGUAAUAAGAAAAUAAAACAUUAAGCGGAAGCAAAUUAAAAUAUCCCCUAUGACAAUCACGUUUCCUUUCUGCCCCUCGCCGGUUUGCCUCCCUUGUUACCUUUGCCUCUCCCUUAUUACCUUUGCCUGAAAAAGUUAAACAUAAAAGGGGUGAGUAUAAAUAUACCCAGUAAAAGACCCGCUACUGGUCCCAUUAGGGGAAAAAUAAAUUAUUAACUUCCUAUGGAGUACCUUGCACAGUCACAGACUUGUGAUCCAAUAGGAUACACAUAAUCAGUCUAACACCCCGAAGGACGCAUAAAACAGUCUAGUGUUCUGCAGAAACACAUAUCAGUCUAGUGCUCCCAAAGGAUGCACAUAUCAGUCUAGUGCUCUCAAAAGAUGCACAUAAAGGGUGAUAAUCCUAUAGGACACCUGCAGGGUAACUACCCAAUAGGAAACUAAUAAUUUUUUCCCUAAGUCCAUUCUAAACAUCUUAUCAGUCAAUCAUAAUACAGUCAAAUUACCUGAACACAUGAUCCCUUCACUUAAUACCCUAACAGUCAACUUAGUGCAUUUUAGCCCAAGUCAGUCAGUAACAUAUCAACACAUCAGUCAAACAAACUAAGUAAUCAUAACAUCCCCUUAGUUCACUAGCACACAACCAUACUUGAUAUAACUUACACCCGGUCCACAUGACAGCCAACAAGUUCACAUUCACAUAUUAUAUAAGCAACAUCCACAAUUUGCAGUCAUUUCACAUCCAAAAGUGUAUAUAUAUCACAACUGACGUACAAUCUCAAUUUAGUGAUAACAUACCGUCAACAUAUUCUACUUUAUAGGUGAGUCCAGUAGUAGAAAAUCUCUUACCUCAAGGUUCCUCAAUUUCUCGAACAACUAUAUCCAACGAAAGACACCUAACCAUAAGAAUAAAAUAACUCAAUUAUUUCCACAAAACAACUCCCACCUAAUUUCCUCAAGGCAAAAAUUUAGCUUACCAAGGUAUUGGCGAACCAAGCUCAAAAUUCACAAAUUGGUUGUGAAUUCAAGUGACCCAACAUUAUUGCCAACACCUUCAAGAAUCAAAUAACAAAUUAAUCAACUAUUCCAACCAUAACGUUUGAACACUUAAAACAAUUACAAUCCAUAACCUAAAUUAUUACCAAUAAAACAACUUUGACGAUUCACAGACGAAAGAAGCAGCGACUAUCGAUCCCAAUGAAAAUAAUCGUGCAAACUUAUCUGAGUGUAAGCUGGCUUGUAACUCACAGUUGGAAGUCGAAAAGUCGUGGCGGCGCGGGGCAUUGGGCGGACGGUUGAUGAAGCGAGCGGCGACUUCAUGAAUCGGGACAAACGAAGACGGAAUGAAAAAACUAAGCGACGACGCUUCGACUUUAGCCCGACGAACGGUGGCGUGCACGGCCGCUGGGCUUUGUCAGACAGAAAAGAAGAAGAUGGUGGCAGAACGUUUCAGCUUCGACAGAGACAGCACCGAUGACGGCGGUGGCUACCGAAGACAUUGCUUUGUGGCGUGACUGGCCGAAACAGGAGAAUGGGGGAAAGAUUUUGGAGGCAGGCGGUGACUGGGUAAAGAAGAGAUGAGGCGAGGGGGGGG
This 7752-nucleotide long non-coding RNA is filed under the name Cucumis sativus (cucumber). RNAcentral's name for it is "long non-coding RNA (CSAT_LNC002724)". Lineage: Eukaryota; Viridiplantae; Streptophyta; Magnoliopsida; Cucurbitales; Cucurbitaceae. The record is from RNAcentral.